RNAcentral lists this transfer RNA (72 nucleotides) under Camelus bactrianus (Bactrian camel). It matches the Rfam family "tRNA". From Rfam's summary of the family: Transfer RNA (tRNA) molecules are approximately 80 nucleotides in length. Lineage: Eukaryota; Metazoa; Chordata; Mammalia; Artiodactyla; Camelidae. RNAcentral also lists the same sequence under 2 other names. The record is from Rfam by way of RNAcentral.
GGGGGUGGAGCUCAGUGGUAGAGCGCGUGCUUGGUGCGCACAAGGUCCUGGGUUCAGCCCCCAGGGCUUCCG